AACCACGUUCUGCCUUUAUGAGACAGUGUGGGUGGUGGGAGUUUAAAAAGCUGUCAGACUUUUUUAAAUCUAUGUUUACCACAAUGGGGAGCUCUGUAAACACAUGGGUUUGCCACAACAUUAUUCCAACAAGCCAGCGUACUUUGAUCCAGGGCUCACUGAGGUUUCUCCAAUGAGGAACUGACUUGACUCCAGGGCAGAGAAGAUUUCAAGAUAUCCAAUCAGGAAACACCCUUAAGCACUGAGAGAGCUGGAGGGAAGGUUUUAUCAGCUUGGCUAUACAAGCUUAAUGUGACCAUGGACACAGUGAGAUGAAAACAGGAAAGCGAGGCAAGGUGCAUUCAAGGUACAUUCAAAAAACAUCAGGUGUUACAUAUCAUAACCCCGGAAGAGAGCUUGUCUCAUUUUCUCUGUUCACCACACGGAAAUUAUUGACCCUGUUAUACGACAUGAAUAUAACUGAUUAAAGAUUGCA
Long non-coding RNA from Perca fluviatilis (European perch), 475 nucleotides. RefSeq lists it as uncharacterized. NCBI's taxonomy places the organism in Eukaryota, Metazoa, Chordata, Actinopteri, Perciformes, Percidae. The record is from RefSeq and is a predicted model, not a curated record. The transcript has 3 exons.